AGAGUUUGAUCCUGGCUCAGAUUGAACGCUGGCGGCAUGCCUUACACAUGCAAGUCGAACGGCAGCACGGGAGCAAUCCUGGUGGCGAGUGGCGAACGGGUGAGUAAUACAUCGGAACGUGCCCAGUAGUGGGGGAUAGCCCGGCGAAAGCCGGAUUAAUACCGCAUACGACCUACGGGUGAAAGCGGGGGAUCGCAAGACCUCGCGCUAUCGGAGCGGCCGAUGUCAGAUUAGGUUGUUGGUGGGGUAAAGGCCUACCAAGCCGACGAUCUGUAGCUGGUCUGAGAGGACGACCAGCCACACUGGGGCUGAGACACGGUCCAGACUCCUACGGGAGGCAGCAGUGGGGAAUAUUGGACAAUGGGCGAAAGCCUGAUCCAGCCAUGCCGCGUGGAGGAUGAAGGUCUUCGGAUUGUAAACUCCUGUUGCUCGGGACGAAAAGCUACGACCUAAUACGUCGGAGUCUGACGGUACCGAGUGAGGAAGCCCCGGCUAACUCUGUGCCAGCAGCCGCGGUAAUUCA
Molecule: ribosomal RNA, 523 nt
Filed under: uncultured bacterium
Lineage: Bacteria
Description: bacterial SSU rRNA
Rfam family: Bacterial small subunit ribosomal RNA
Source: RNAcentral